UGGGGAAUUUUGCACAAUGGGGGAAACCCUGAUGCAGCGACGCCGCGUGAUUUAGAAGGCCUUCGGGUUGUAAAAAUCUUUUCUAUGGGAAGAAAAUGACAGUACCAUAGGAAUAAGGACCGGCUAAUUACGUGCCAGCAGCCGCGGUAAUACGUAAGGUCCGAGCGUUGUCCGGAAUCAUUGGGCGUAAAGGGUACGUAGGCGGGUAAGCAAGUUAGCAGUGAAAUCCUAUAGCUCAACUAUAGUAAGCUUUUAAAACUGCUCAUCUUGAGGUAUGGAAGGGAAAGUGGAAUUCCUAGUGUAGCGGUGAAAUGCGCAGAUAUUAGGAGGAAUACCGGUGGCGAAGGCGACUUUCUGGCCAUAACCUGACGCUGAGGUACGAAAGCGUGGGUAGCAAACAGG
Molecule: ribosomal RNA, 402 nt
Filed under: bacterium
Lineage: Bacteria
Description: partial 16S ribosomal RNA
Rfam family: Bacterial small subunit ribosomal RNA
Source: RNAcentral